Molecule: unclassified non-coding RNA, 231 nt
Filed under: Hevea brasiliensis (rubber tree)
Lineage: Eukaryota; Viridiplantae; Streptophyta; Magnoliopsida; Malpighiales; Euphorbiaceae
Source: RNAcentral
GACCAUCAAGACUUGCCAACAGCGGCAGGGAGCUCCUUUGCUUUGGGCUAUGGAGGUUGGAAAAUGCCUUGUUUCCUUGGGGAUGAGAUUGCCUAGCCCUGAGUUGGGGCAUGUGCUUGUCCCUUAUCUCUGCUUCGACAAUAACCACCCUUCCCUCUGGAAGUUCCUCCAACAAGCUCUCUCCUCUCGCCUCCUCUAUCCCAUCCAUAUCCUGUCCCUCCUCUCCGCCAG